This 415-nucleotide RNase P RNA is filed under the name Erythrobacter sp. 34-65-8. RNAcentral's name for it is "RNase P RNA component class A". It matches the Rfam family "Bacterial RNase P class A". From Rfam's summary of the family: Ribonuclease P (RNase P) is a ubiquitous endoribonuclease, found in archaea, bacteria and eukarya as well as chloroplasts and mitochondria. Its best characterised activity is the generation of mature 5'-ends of tRNAs by cleaving the 5'-leader elements of precursor-tRNAs. Lineage: Bacteria; Pseudomonadati; Pseudomonadota; Alphaproteobacteria; Sphingomonadales; Erythrobacteraceae. The record is from RNAcentral.
CCAGGGGGCCGGGCAGCCGCGUCACGCAAGUGCCGAGGAAAGUCCGGGCUCCACGAAACAAGGGUGGCGGGUAACGCCCGCCGUGCCGGGGAUUUCGGUUUCCGGUAAAGGGAAAGUGCCACAGAGAGCAGACCGCCGAUGGCCCGGACCUGGUCCGGGCACGGUAAGGGUGAAAGGGUGCGGCAAGAGCGCACCGGGGUUCUGGCAACAGCGCCCGCAUGGCAAACCCCACCCGGAGCAAGGCCAAAUAGGGGCCUCGUGCCGAAAGGCAGGGGUGUUUCGCCCCAAGAGGCCCGGGUUGGCUGCUCGAGCCAUGGAGCAAUCCAUGGCCCAGAUGAAUGGCUGCCCCCGCCGAUACGGUCCCCUUGGGAUACCGUCGGCGGGACAGAACCCGGCUUACAGGCCCCCUGGCACA